GGCAGCAGUGGGGAAUAUUGCACAAUGGGCGCAAGCCUGAUGCAGCCAUGCCGCGUGUAUGAAGAAGGCCUUCGGGUUGUAAAGUACUUUCAGCGGGGAGGAAGGCGUUGAGGUUAAUAACCUCAGCAAUUGACGUUACCCGCAGAAGAAGCACCGGCUAACUCCGUGCCAGCAGCCGCGGUAAUACGGAGGGUGCAAGCGUUAAUCGGAAUUACUGGGCGUAAAGCGCACGC
This 233-nucleotide ribosomal RNA is filed under the name Enterobacter cloacae. Its description in RNAcentral is "partial 16S ribosomal RNA". It matches the Rfam family "Bacterial small subunit ribosomal RNA", at positions 347 to 572 of the family's 1533-position model. The record is from RNAcentral. Lineage: Bacteria; Pseudomonadati; Pseudomonadota; Gammaproteobacteria; Enterobacterales; Enterobacteriaceae.